RNAcentral lists this RNase P RNA (389 nucleotides) under Nisaea sp. RNAcentral describes it as "RNase P RNA component class A". It matches the Rfam family "Bacterial RNase P class A". Rfam says of the family: Ribonuclease P (RNase P) is a ubiquitous endoribonuclease, found in archaea, bacteria and eukarya as well as chloroplasts and mitochondria. The record is from RNAcentral. Lineage: Bacteria; Pseudomonadati; Pseudomonadota; Alphaproteobacteria; Rhodospirillales; Thalassobaculaceae.
UCAGGCGGUUGGAUGGCCGCUGGCGGUUUCGGCCGCUGGAGGAAAGUCCGGGCUCCACGGAGACACGGUGCCGGGUAACGCCCGGCGGGGGCGACCCCAGGGAAAGUGCCACAGAAAGCAAACCGCCCGCCCGCUUCGGCUGGCAGGCAAGGGUGAAAGGGUGCGGUAAGAGCGCACCGCGCGGACGGUAACGGACGCGGCACGGUAAACCCCACCGGGAGCAAGACCAAAUAGGGAUGGCCGGUCGCGCCGCGAGGCGGCGGCAGAUGGGUUUUCGCAUCGUCAUCCGGGUAGGUCGCGCGAGGCGGUCGGUAACGAUCGUCCCAGAGGAAUGGCCAUACAGGUGCUCACGCACUGGACAGAACCCGGCUUACAGACCGCCUGAUCCC